Molecule: long non-coding RNA, 3325 nt
Organism: Rhododendron vialii
Lineage: Eukaryota; Viridiplantae; Streptophyta; Magnoliopsida; Ericales; Ericaceae
Exons: 5
Source: RefSeq, a predicted model, not a curated record
CACCAGAGUUCGUCCCCAAGAUGUCUCUCUCUCUCUCUCUCUCUCUCUCUCUCUCUCUGUAUCCGUCUAAUAUUUCAAUGGAUCAUCGUUUACAAACGGGCGUCAUCCGUAAACUGAUUGUCUCACAUUAUCAGGUAUGAAAGCGCUCAAUUUUUUCCAAAUUGUAUGCGAUUCGAAUUGUGCAAUCAAUUUCAUCAUUUCGGGUUACCUAAUGUAAUUCAGGACGAUCUUCUUUGUCGGUGCUUGGGGUUUUUUUUUUUCGUUGCAAUUUUUGUUGAAAAGUGCAAGCCCAUGGAUUGACGGAAUAUAGACUGUGACAAAGAAGGUGUUAUGAGCUGCUAAGUAUGAAAUUGCAGAGAAACAAUGGUGGAAGAGAAGAGUGAAAACAAAAGAGAAAUUAAUAGAAAUUGAGAAGAAAGAGAUGGUCUCAACGUUACAAUUCAAUGAAUGCCUUUGCUCCUCUCACGGCCUCUCUCUAUAACAGAAAACCACCUAACAACUUUUCCCGCCAAUCCUAACAAAUUGCUAAUAACUAAUUUGAGUGCGUAUCACCCUGUGUCUGUAGCUGAACUCUUGCAAGUUGCAAUGCACCACCACCAAAGAGUAAAACAUUUUACGAUCAGCCGCCAAAAUUUCGACAGCGACAACAAUCAUUUGAGCACAAGUGAACAAGACCCCAGACAGUCCCAUCCCACAAUUGCUCUAGUAACAUGGGAAUGUCCCAAAUUAUGAAUAGACUGCCAAUGGAUUGAGAGAGAAACACCUCGCAGUCGAAUUGGUUAAAAUUUUCCACCUCACUUUAGUCUUGAACACGCCAAAAAGAAAGAGUUUAUUCCUAGGAAUAAAAGAACAAACCUCCCUAACUUUGUUUUAAGGGAUCAUCUAGACCCCUUAUACUUCCACAAGCCAAUCUUAGUCAUUUAACCUUGGAGGCCUUCCUACCCGAAGAAACAAAGUGCCAACAAAAGUGAGAACAUCUUCACAGAAACCAGAAUCAUCCCCAAUAUGUAACUGAGGAAUAUCCCUAACAACCAAUCCAGAGGACUUCCCUACCAUCAAAGACGAAGUAUCAACCACAGAAGAAGUAUCAUCAUGGCCCUUAACAGAAGAACCAUCAGUUACAAGACAAGGAUUAUUCAUAUCAUCCACCCAGCUUCUUGUGCCAUCAAGGGUGAAUAUUUAUUCCUCAGCAAAACUAUCGCUUAUCCCUUCUUUAGAUGUAACUCUAUGGAAUAAGUGUUUGGAUAAGUUCCCGUAUGUGGGAAUUUGGAAGUGUUAUUGUCUUGUAUUGAUUAGCUGCUGGAUCUUUGGCUGUGGUCGGGUAUCUUAGAACAGAGCUCAAUUGUGAUUUGAGCAUAGUUGUUAAAAGCCUACGAUACAAUGAACGUAUCCUUUGACUUGUAUCGUCUAUUUCAAAAGCUAUACCUAUCCUACCCCGUAUCCUUUUUGUAUAGAAAUUCUACGAUACAAUGAGGUAUCCUAUGAUAUAUACGUGUAUCCUGAUUCAGUACGUAUCUAAAGAUUACUUUUUUUUUGCUCAGCAUAUCUAAAGAUUACGUAAUGGGAAAAAGUCGUUAACCGAUUUAUGCAAAUUCUUGGGGCAAACUUUUGGCUUUCUGAUUGGAAAUAGUUGCUUUGUCGGUUUUAAUCUUUAGGUGGCAGUUAUAUUUAUUCUUGGUGAUACCUACCACCAAAUUUGGCUUCUAAUGUUGGUAGUGGAGUUGCUUGCUCUUUUUUUUUUUUACUAAUGGUUCCGAAUGCUAUAGUAAUUAGUUACAAAAGCUGUUUUUUCCCAUCGGCUUAAUUUCUUGUGAUGAAGGAUUACGCUCUUAGGGAAAGUGGAAGCCUACUGCAGUUGUGUGGAGGUGGGAGGAAGUAUGACAAACCAAGUAGGAUUUGAACCUGGUGAUUCUGGGAAACAAGGUGGGUAGAGAGAGGUUGACAUGGAGACAAAGGAGGUAGGACACUCAUGAAUGCUUUUUGUUGGCAUGUGCUUGGGUUGUUUAGAGGACAACUUGGAGCUUUUGCCAGGCCCGACCUUUGUAAUCAGAGAACGGUAGUAAUACAGCGAACUUCAUUUUGGAAUUCACCUACGUUCCAAAUUUGAUAAAUUUAAUGGGAAGUUGGCAUACUUUCAUACUUCCUGUCUGGUGGCAUACCAUCGUGGCAGCAGAAUGUUGCGAUGAUGGGGUUAAUGCAUAGAAAAAGGUGGUGGAUGUUUUGUAAGAUGUCUAUUAUUGUCUACCCUUUUUCAACAUUGAAAUACUUUACAAAGUUUGGUUUAAUGGUAAAUUGGUGUAUCUCAAUCAUUCAGAGCUGUUUAAUAGUUUUGGCUUUGUAAGAGUGCUAACUGCUGAGAUUAAUCCUUCAACUUAUCUUGUACAGUUUCGGUGUGAAAUUCUCUCUUCAUUGAGAAGAGAAAUAUCCAUAUGUCGAAGGAAGAAAAAGGAUAAAAGAACUGAUAAUUUUUGUUUGCGAGUUUAAAUUUUACGUGGAAAGUGGAAAUACGUUUCUUCCUGCAUAGCUGUGUAGUUUUAUUAUACACCAUAUUACUUUAUCUCAGUUUAUAUGAGGUUGCUCAUUUCUCAUUGUUUUUCCUUUUCCUGUUUAUUUGAUGAUGUUUACACAUAUCGAUAAAGGAAGAUACACAUAAGAAAGAGGUAACACUAUUUUCUAUCAACUGUAUCCAUCCGGAUUCUGGACUAUUCAUCCUUCAAGCCUGAGAAACGGACCACUGAUUCCAGUCCAAAUGAAGGGCACUUCCAUAAAGUAGUGGAAGGGAUAGAGAUCUAUAACAAGCGUGCAUGUGAAUCCCAUUUUUGCUUUUGUAGAAGCUGAUAUGGGGAAACUUUAUAUUGCCUCAGAAGCCACUGAUGUUGUAUUCAGGGCCUAUGUUUAUUAGCCAAAUGCAAGCGCAUCACCGAGUUACUAGGGGAAAGGAGUCAGUUGUCCGCAAAGGUACUCUGAAGACCAUUCAAUUAAUGACAGAGCGGAGACAAGGUAACAAGAUGAUGACAAAACUCUCAGGGUUGGAGCAAUUUUUGCUGGAUCCUGAACCAUUGGCAUCAGAGCUGCAGAAGAAAUUUGCUUGUAGUACAUCAGUGGCAAAUUACCAGGGGUAGCGAAGCCCUUGACUACUUUAAAGAAGACCCGACGUUGUUUAAUGUGGAUAUCAAGAGCAAAUGACGCAUUGGCCCGAGCAACCUGUUAAUAUCAUCAUUAAAUGGCUAAAGGAUCGCCGCCCUUCUUUACUUGUGGCUGAUUUUGGCUCUGGGGAUGCACGCCUUGCAAGAAAUGUCAAAAAUAAAGUCUUCUCGUUUGAUCU